Molecule: non-coding RNA, 21 nt
Filed under: Arabidopsis thaliana (thale cress)
Lineage: Eukaryota; Viridiplantae; Streptophyta; Magnoliopsida; Brassicales; Brassicaceae
Source: RNAcentral
UUUUGAUAAUAUGGGUGAUGA